This 926-nucleotide long non-coding RNA is filed under the name Homo sapiens (human). RNAcentral describes it as "HSALNT0395940". Lineage: Eukaryota; Metazoa; Chordata; Mammalia; Primates; Hominidae. The record is from RNAcentral.
CCGGGAGGUGGAGCUUGCAGUGAGCCGAGAUCAUGCCAGUGCACUCCAGCCUGGGUGACAGAGCGAGACUCCGUCUCAAAAAAAAAAAAAAAAAAAAAAAUACAGCCAGGCACAGUGGCUCACACCUGUAAUCCCACCACUUUGGGAGGCUGAGGCAGGCGGAUCACCUGAGGUGGGGAGUUCGAGACCAGCCUGAUCAACAUGGAGAAAACCUGUCUCUCCUAAAAAUACAAAAUUAACCGAGCAUGUUGGCGCAUGCCUGUAAUCUCAGCUACUUGGAAGGCUGAGGCAGGAGAAUUGCUUCAAACUGGGCAGAGGUUGCAGUGAGCCAAGGUUGACCCACUGCACUCCAGCCUGGGCAACAAGAGCAAAACUCCAUCUCAAAAAAAAAAAAAAAGAAAGAAACAGUGCCGAAAAAUCACAAUGAUUUGAGUUCUUCAAAAACCUUUGAUUGGCUGCAUUGGCUCUGUUCUGCAUAUUACUAGACUUCUUACAUGAUCACAAGUAACCACUAAUUGGUUAAAACCAAAGAGAGAGAGAGAGAGAGUGUGUGUGUGUGUGUGUGUGUUUGGUUGGGGGGUGUUGUGUUAGCUUCCAGGUGAAUGCAUUAUCUGUUAAUCCUGUUUAUUGAUCUGUUUUUAUAAGUGCUCCAUGAUUCUCUGAAAACAGUAUACUAUGUAUCUAAUUUUUGGAUACAGGAUGGACAUACGUACUCAAACUGUGUUUUUCAAUUUGUACUGUAUUUGUUUCUCUCGACCUGACUUAGUGAUAGAGGUAUAUUAAAGUCUUCCACUAGCAUGGUAGAUUAACAAAUUCUUUCUGUAAUUCUGUCAUUUUUACUUUAUAUAUGUUUAUGUGUAAUGUAACUAGGUGCGUAGAGGUUUAGAUAUUCUCCUGUGAAUUUAUUUAUUUUCAGUAGGGGCCAU